Molecule: ribosomal RNA, 254 nt
Filed under: uncultured bacterium
Lineage: Bacteria
Description: partial 16S ribosomal RNA
Rfam family: Bacterial small subunit ribosomal RNA
Source: RNAcentral
UACGUAGGGUGCAAGCGUUUAAUCGGAAUUACUGGGCGUAAAGCGUGCGCAGGCGGUGAUGUAAGACAGUUGUGAAAGCCCCGGGCUCAACCUGGGAACUGCAUUUGGGACUGCAAGGCUGGAGUACGGCAGAGGGAGGUGGAAUUCCACGUGUAGCAGUGAAAUGCGUAGAGAUGUGGAGGAACACCGAUGGCGAAGGCAGCCUCCUGGGCUAGUACUGACGCUCAUGCACGAAAGCGUGGGGAGCAAACAGG